This 800-nucleotide ribosomal RNA is filed under the name Streptomyces coerulescens. RNAcentral describes it as "bacterial SSU rRNA". It matches the Rfam family "Bacterial small subunit ribosomal RNA", at positions 41 to 846 of the family's 1533-position model. Lineage: Bacteria; Bacillati; Actinomycetota; Actinomycetes; Kitasatosporales; Streptomycetaceae. The record is from RNAcentral.
GGUUCGUUUGAGGCCUCAUAUAUUAGACAGUCGACGAUGAACCACUUCGGUGGGGAUUAGUGGCGAACGGGUGAGUAACACCUGGGCAAUCUGCCCUGCACUCUGGGACAAGCCCUGGAAACGGGGUCUAAUACCGGAUACUGACCCGCUUGGGCAUCCAAGCGGUUCGAAAGCUCCGGCGGUGCAGGAUGAGCCCGCGGCCUAUCAGCUUGUUGGUGAGGUAAUGGCUCACCAAGGCGACGACGGGUAGCCGGCCUGAGAGGGCGACCGGCCACACUGGGACUGAGACACGGCCCAGACUCCUACGGGAGGCAGCAGUGGGGAAUAUUGCACAAUGGGCGAAAGCCUGAUGCAGCGACGCCGCGUGAGGGAUGACGGCCUUCGGGUUGUAAACCUCUUUCAGCAGGGAAGAAGCGAAAGUGACGGUACCUGCAGAAGAAGCGCCGGCUAACUACGUGCCAGCAGCCGCGGUAAUACGUAGGGCGCGAGCGUUGUCCGGAAUUAUUGGGCGUAAAGAGCUCGUAGGCGGCUUGUCACGUCGGUUGUGAAAGCCCGGGGCUUAACCCCGGGUCUGCAGUCGAUACGGGCAGGCUAGAGUUCGGUAGGGGAGAUCGGAAUUCCUGGUGUAGCGGUGAAAUGCGCAGAUAUCAGGAGGAACACCGGUGGCGAAGGCGGAUCUCUGGGCCGAUACUGACGCUGAGGAGCGAAAGCGUGGGGGAGCGAACAGGAUUAGAUACCCUGGUAGUCCACGCCGUAAACGGUGGGCACUAGGUGUGGGCGACAUUCCACGUCGUCCGUGC